This is a long non-coding RNA of Homo sapiens (human), 1144 nucleotides long. Ensembl annotates it as HNF1A antisense RNA 1. Its record names the gene HNF1A-AS1. Lineage: Eukaryota; Metazoa; Chordata; Mammalia; Primates; Hominidae. The record is from Ensembl.
ACUCCAGCCUCCUUGCAAGCUUGGGGCGCCUCAUUCUCUCCCGUGCCCCUUCUCCCAGCUGGGUCUGAGCCCCCGCCCCCCUGGCUCCUCCGUUCUGCUUCUCCCAGCUUCUCUGUCCAUCUCCCCCAAUGGCCUCUCUCUACACUCUCUGCCUCAGCUUCCAGGUCUCUGCUGGUCCCUAGGAAGCACUUUGACCUCUGCUUCCCCUUCAAAUGCUGUGGAUCAAGCCUCCCCAACCCCACCAUCCCACCAAAGGGGGCUGCUGACCGAGAGAGCUCACUCAGCCAGAUGGGGGUCUCGCUCUGUUGCCCAGGCUGGAGUGCAGUGGUGCAAUCUUGGCUCACUGCAACCUCCGCCUCCCGGGUUCAAGCAAUUCUCCUGCCUGAGCCUCCCGAGUAUCUGGAACUACAGAGCCAGAUUCUUACUCUGUCACCCAGGCUGGCAUGAUCAUAGCUCACUUCAGCCUAGAACUCCUGGCUUCAAGCAAUCCUCCCACCUCAGCAUCCCAAGUAGCUGGAACUACAGAGAGCCAGCUGUUAAACACUAGCCAACACCCCAUUGAUGCUGUUCCUUCUACCUGAAACACCUCGCAUUGCCGGUGGAGUCUCGCUCUGUGGCCCAGGCAAUCUCGGCUCACUACAACCUCCGCCUCCCAGGUUCAGGCGAUUCUCCUUCCUCAGCCUUCUGAGUAGCUGGAAUUACAGGCACCCGCCACCAUACCCAUCUAAUUUUUGUAUUUUUAGUAGAGACGAGGUUUCACCAUGUUGGCCAGGCUGGUCUCGAACUCCUGGCCUCAAGCAAUCCUCCCGCCUCGGCCUCCCAAAGUGUUGGGAUUACAAGCAUGAGUCACCAUGCCUGGCCUAUGGUAUUUUUUUAUAGCAGCAGGAACAGACUAAGACAUCCUACUUCUCAGCUUAAACGUCACCUCUGCACAGAGCCCUUCGUGAUACAUCUGAACAGAUUCUUUUCUGUGACUCUCCAUCCCUGCACUGUAUUUGCUCUUUCAGGGUGCUUUUUCACAUUUGUGAGGGUGUAUGCAUCUCCUCUUCCAGGCUGUAAGCUUCAUAAAGUCUCUGUUUUGUUCAUAACUAGAACAAGCCCUAGCACCUAGCAGUGAGUGUUCAUUAAACAUAUGAAGAAUGAA